GACGAACGCUGGCGGUGCGCCUUAUGCAUGCAAGUCGAGCGAAGCUUUUCAGUAGUUUACUACAGAAAAAUGACUGAGCGGCGAACGGGCGAGUAACGCGUGAGCAAUCUACCUUAGUUACAGGGAUAGCCCGAGGAAACUCGGAUUAAUACCUGAUAUUCUUUAUUUCUCGCAUGAGAAUAAAAGGAAAGGUCAGCCGAACUAAGAUGAGCUCGCGUUCUAUCAGCUAGUUGGUGAGGUAAAAGCUUACCAAGGCUACGACGGAUAGCUGGUCUGAGAGGACGAUCAGCCACACUGGGACUGAGACACGGCCCAG
Molecule: ribosomal RNA, 316 nt
Filed under: uncultured bacterium
Lineage: Bacteria
Description: bacterial SSU rRNA
Rfam family: Bacterial small subunit ribosomal RNA
Source: RNAcentral